Dryococelus australis is the source of this 72-nucleotide non-coding RNA. NCBI's taxonomy places the organism in Eukaryota, Metazoa, Arthropoda, Insecta, Phasmatodea, Phasmatidae. The record is from the annotation of a GenBank genome assembly.
GCCAGUUUAGCUCAGUGGCAAGACGUACGGCUCUUAACGCAAGGUUCGUGGGUUCAAAUCCCGGGCUGAGCG